This 451-nucleotide ribosomal RNA is filed under the name uncultured bacterium. RNAcentral describes it as "bacterial SSU rRNA". It matches the Rfam family "Bacterial small subunit ribosomal RNA", at positions 329 to 794 of the family's 1533-position model. The record is from RNAcentral.
CACCAGACUCCUACGGGAGGCAGCAGUGGGGAAUAUUGGGCAAUGGAGGAAACUCUUACCCAGCAAUGCCGCGUGAAUGAAGAAGGUCUUCGGAUUGUAAAGUUCUUUAAUUGGGGACGAAAAAAAUGACGGUACCCAAGGAAUAAGCCCCGGCUAACUACGUGCCAGCAGCCGCGGUAAUACGUAGGGGGCAAGCGUUAUCCGGAUUUACUGGGUGUAAAGGGAGCGUAGACGGCGAAGAAAGUCUGAAGUGAAAGCCCGCGGCUCAACCGCGGAAUGGCUUUGGAAACUUUUUUGCUGGAGUACCGGAGAGGUAAGCGGAAUUCCUAGUGUAGCGGUGAAAUGCGUAGAUAUUAGGAGGAACACCAGUGGCGAAGGCGGCUUACUGGACGGUAACUGACGUUGAGGCUCGAAAGCGUGGGGAGCAAACAGGAUUAGAUACCCGCGUACU